RNAcentral lists this long non-coding RNA (566 nucleotides) under Homo sapiens (human). Its description in RNAcentral is "HSALNT0134366". The record is from RNAcentral. Lineage: Eukaryota; Metazoa; Chordata; Mammalia; Primates; Hominidae.
AAUUCUGUAACCAGUGCUCUUGAGCUACUUGCUUGAGCCUGCUCCCACUCUGUGGAGUAUACUUUCAUUUCAAUAAAUCUGGCUUUUAUUGCUUCAUUCUUUCAUUGCUUUGUUUGUGCAUUUUGUUCAAAACGUCAAGAACUUGGACAAUCUGUAGUCAAGGACCUCCACUGAUAACAGUUCCACAGAUACACGCAAAGACAAAGAACACAGAAAGCACAUCACCCACAAAAUGCAGAGUACUCUGGAAGAUUCAUAUGUGAAGCCCUAACCCCCAUCGUGAUGGUAUUAGGAGAUGCAGCUCUUGAGAUGUAAUGAAGGUGAGCACACAGCAAGAAGGUAGCUGUCUGCAAGCUGGGAAGAGAGACCUAACCAAAACUUAACCACGCUGGCACCCUGAUCUCAGAAACUCAGUCUCCAGAACUGUGAGAAAAUAAAUGUCUGUUGUUUAAGCCACGCAGUCUGUGGUAUUUUGUUAUAGAAGACUGACUGAGCAGACUAAUACAAGGAUUUUGUAUUCUGACUGUGUCAUGUGUGACUUUGAGCAAUUAUUCAACUUCGCUGAG